Molecule: ribosomal RNA, 429 nt
Filed under: bacterium
Lineage: Bacteria
Description: partial 16S ribosomal RNA
Rfam family: Bacterial small subunit ribosomal RNA
Source: RNAcentral
UGGGGAAUAUUGGACAAUGGGCGAAAGCCUGAUCCAGCCAUGCCGCGUGUGUGAAGAAGGCCUUUUGGUUGUAAGCACUUUAAGCGAGGAGGAGGCUACUUAGAUUAAUACUCUAGGAUAGUGGACGUUACUCGCAGAAUAAGCACCGGCUAACUCUGUGCCAGCAGCCGCGGUAAUACAGAGGGUGCGAGCGUUAAUCGGAUUUACUGGGCGUAAAGCGUGCGUAGGCGGCUUUUUAAGUCGGAUGUGAAAUCCCUGAGCUUAACUUAGGAAUUGCAUUCGAUACUGGGAAGCUAGAGUAUGGGAGAGGAUGGUAGAAUUCCAGGUGUAGCGGUGAAAUGCGUAGAGAUCUGGAGGAAUACCGAUGGCGAAGGCAGCCAUCUGGCCUAAUACUGACGCUGAGGUACGAAAGCAUGGGGAGCAAACAGG